RNAcentral lists this ribosomal RNA (253 nucleotides) under uncultured bacterium. RNAcentral describes it as "partial 16S ribosomal RNA". It matches the Rfam family "Bacterial small subunit ribosomal RNA", at positions 524 to 776 of the family's 1533-position model. The record is from RNAcentral.
UACGUAGGAGGCGAGCGUUGUCCGGAUUUACUGGGCGUAAAGCGCGCGCAGGCGGCACUUCAAGUAAGGUGUGAAAUCUCCCUGCUCAACGGGGAGGGUGCACCUUAGACUGGGGAGCUAGAGGACGGUAGAGGGGGGUGGAAUUGCUGGUGUAGCGGUGAAAUGCGCAGAUAUCAGGAGGAACACCGGUGGCGAAGGCGGGUCUCUGGGCCGAUACUGACGCUGAGGAGCGAAAGCGUGGGGAGCGAACAGG